Molecule: ribosomal RNA, 808 nt
Filed under: uncultured bacterium
Lineage: Bacteria
Description: bacterial SSU rRNA
Rfam family: Bacterial small subunit ribosomal RNA
Source: RNAcentral
CGCCCUUAGAGUUUGAUCCUGGCUCAGGAUGGGCGCUGGCGGCGUGCUUAACACAUGCAAGUCGAGCGAAGCACUUUGGAAAGAUUCUUCGGAUGAUUUCCUUUGUGACUGAGCGGCGGACGGGUGAGUAACGCGUGGGUAACCUGCCUCAUACGGGGGGAUAACAGUUAGAAAUGACUGCUAAUACCGCAUAAGACCACGGUACCGCAUGGUACAGUGGUAAAAACUCCGGUGGUAUGAGAUGGACCCGCGUCUGAUUAGGUAGUUGGUGGGGUAACGGCCUACCAAGCCGACGAUCAGUAGCCGACCUGAGAGGGUGACCGGCCACAUUGGGACUGAAACACGGCCCAGACUCCUACGGGAGGCAGCAGUGGGGAAUAUUGCACAAUGGAGGAAACUCUGAUGCAGCGACGCCGCGUGAAGGAUGAAGUAUUUCGGUAUGUAAACUUCUAUCAGCAGGGAAGAAAAUGACGGUACCUGACUAAGAAGCCCCGGCUAACUACGUGCCAGCAGCCGCGGUAAUACGUAGGGGGCAAGCGUUAUCCGGAUUUACUGGGUGUAAAGGGAGCGUAGACGGCACGGCAAGCCAGAUGUGAAAGCCCGGGGCUCAACCCCGGGACUGCAUUUGGAACUGCUGAGCUAGAGUGUCGGAGAGGCAAGUGGAAUUCCUAGUGUAGCGGUGAAAUGCGUAGAUAUUAGGAGGAACACCAGUGGCGAAGGCGGCUUGCUGGACGAUGACUGACGUUGAGGCUCGAAAGCGUGGGGAGCAAACAGGAUUAGAUACCCUGGUAGUCCACGCCGUAAACGA